AGCAGUAUCCGCGGUAAUACAGAGGGUGCAAGCGUUGUUCGGAAUUAUUGGGCGUAAAGAGCUCGUAGGCGGUUUGUCGCGUCUGCCGUGAAAACUGGAGGCUCAACCUCCAGCCUGCAGUGGGUACGGGCAGACUAGAGUGCGGUAGGGGAGAUUGGAAUUCCUGGUGUAGCGGUGGAAUGCGCAGAUAUCAGGAGGAACACCGAUGGCGAAGGCAGAUCUCUGGGCCGUGACUGACGCUCAGGUGCGAAAGCGUGGGGAGCAAACUGGAUUAGAGACCCCUGUAGUCCCUGUCUCUUAUAC
RNAcentral lists this ribosomal RNA (303 nucleotides) under uncultured bacterium. RNAcentral's name for it is "partial 16S ribosomal RNA". It matches the Rfam family "Bacterial small subunit ribosomal RNA", at positions 507 to 807 of the family's 1533-position model. The record is from RNAcentral.